GACGAACGCUGGCGGCGUGCCUAAUACAUGCAAGUCGAGCGGAGCGGCGGACGGGUGAGUAAUGCCUAGGAAUCUGCCUGGUAGUGGGGGAUAACGUCCGGAAACGGGCGCUAAUACCGCAUACUCUCCGAUGCGCCUAGGUCGGAUUAGCUAGGUGGGGGGGUAAAGGCCUACCAAGGCGACGAUCCGUAACUGGUCUGAGAGGAUGAUCAGUCACACUGGAACUGAGACACGGGCCAGACUCCUACGGGAGGCAGCAGUGGGGAAUAUUGGACAAUGGGCGAAAGCCUGAUGCAGCCAUGCCGCGUGUAUGAAGAAGGUCUUCGGGUUGUAAAGCACUUUAAGUUGGGAGGCGUUACCAACAGAAUAAGCACCGGCUAACUCCGUGCCAGCAGCCGCGGUAAUAC
Molecule: ribosomal RNA, 407 nt
Filed under: uncultured bacterium
Lineage: Bacteria
Description: partial 16S ribosomal RNA
Rfam family: Bacterial small subunit ribosomal RNA
Source: RNAcentral